CUGGAACAAAAUCGACCAACAGAAAAUAUUACCGAGCUGCUUUUCGAUCAUCAUUCUGCUACAGCCAGCGCUGUGAGCACCGAGCGCGCAGAUGGCAAAGCGGCCGUGUCAGCUGUGAGCACUGCCUCUGAGCUAUGGGAAGCACUCAUUUUCUCAUUCCUCCUUCGACCCUGCUGCAACUCCACUGCUGUAAAGCUGACACAGGCCUGCAGGAGGGGAACCAAAUCCCAACAGAAAGCCUGGGGAGUUUUAGUCUCUAACUACAGAGGGGAGAGUGCGCGCUGCAUCUUAAGAUCCAGGUCAAGACAGGGAAUGAUUUCCAUUUUUCACUUGUAAGGAGACUAGCUCUUUGGGAAAAGGCAGAUUGUACAAACUCAUUGCAAGGCACGGCUGCAGUGAAGCAUCAGACGGUGCGUUCCCAAGGGCACGAGAGGCAGAUACUUUCUGGAAUCUCAGAGGAGAAAAGGCAGCUCAGUGCUGCUCAGAGCUGCUGUAAAUGUGAAUCACAGCCUCGUACCUGUUAUGAGGCUCUUCUGCUGCUCACAUAAGUGGUGAGAUGUCUUGCUGCUGUUUAUGUUCUCCCCCUCAGGAAAGAGGAGGAAUACUUCCUACUGACUUUGAAUUUGAAGUAUCUUUGACCUCAGAAUGGUCAAAGCACACUUCAAACUCCAGACUAGUCACACACUGUCAGUAACGCUCUUUCCUUUCAUCCUGCAGGAAAAAGAGCACAGACUGCUCAUCUUGAGCUUUGCAGACACAGCAGCAGCAGUGCAGGUGCACAGCUUGGGUAGUGAAAGGACUUCAUAGGAUGGCUUACAAACAGUAAUGGGUUGUAAUCUUAUUCAGCAUGGAAAGUGUGAAUAAUGGCAGCCAAACAUGUAUCAGUCCAAACAGAAUUAGCGUGGAAACAGCAGUCUGUUAUCUGCUUGCAACUACAUCUACUCUUUGAACAGCAGGACAGCCACGAACAUGUGAGCCAGCCAUCUCAAACUCGUUUUGUACGCCCCGGGAAGAAACAGUGCUUGGUUACCUAUGAUUCAUCUGACUGGUUUUAGGACAAAAUGAAUCGCAUUCAAUCACUUCCAGUUACUCUGCAGUGAGAGCAAAGCAAGCCAAGACAACUAGUCCAGAUGUAUAUGUGUACAUCUGGUCAAAUGAAC
This 1160-nucleotide long non-coding RNA is filed under the name Numida meleagris (helmeted guineafowl). RNAcentral describes it as "lncRNA (ENSNMEG00000019725.1)". Lineage: Eukaryota; Metazoa; Chordata; Aves; Galliformes; Numididae. The record is from RNAcentral.